This 380-nucleotide ribosomal RNA is filed under the name uncultured Nitrososphaerota archaeon. Its description in RNAcentral is "bacterial SSU rRNA". It matches the Rfam family "Archaeal small subunit ribosomal RNA", at positions 471 to 851 of the family's 1478-position model. Lineage: Archaea; Thermoproteati; Nitrososphaerota. The record is from RNAcentral.
UAAAACCAGCACCUCAAGUGGUCAGGAGGUUUAUUGGGCCUAAAGCAUCCGUAGCCUGCUUUGUAAGUUUUCGGUUAAAUCCAUAUGCUCAACAUAUGGGCUGUCGGGAAUACUGCAUAGCUAGGGAGUGGGAGAGGUAGACGGUACUCCAUAGGAAGGGGUAAAAUCCUUUGAUCUAUGGAAGACCACCAGUGGCGAAGGCGGUCUACCAGAACACGUUCGACGGUGAGGGAUGAAAGCUGGGGGAGCAAACCGGAUUAGAUACCCGGGUAGUCCCAGCUGUAAACUAUGCAAACUCGGUGAUGCAUUGGCUUGAGGCCAGUGCAGUGCCGCAGGGAAGCCGUUAAGUUUGCCGCCUGGGAAGUACGUACGCAAGUAUG